RNAcentral lists this ribosomal RNA (273 nucleotides) under uncultured Comamonadaceae bacterium. RNAcentral's name for it is "partial 16S ribosomal RNA". It matches the Rfam family "Bacterial small subunit ribosomal RNA", at positions 30 to 303 of the family's 1533-position model. Lineage: Bacteria; Pseudomonadati; Pseudomonadota; Betaproteobacteria; Burkholderiales; Comamonadaceae. The record is from RNAcentral.
AUUGAACGCUGGCGGCAUGCCUUACACAUGCAAGUCGAACGGCAGCACGGGAGCAAUCCUGGUGGCGAGUGGCGAACGGGUGAGUAAUACAUCGGAACGUGCCCAAUCGUGGGGGAUAACGCAGCGAAAGCUGUGCUAAUACCGCAUACGAUCUACGGAUGAAAGCAGGGGAUCGCAAGACCUUGCGCGAAUGGAGCGGCCGAUGGCAGAUUAGGUAGUUGGUGAGGUAAAUGCUCACCAAGCUGUCCAUCUGUAGCUGGUUUAAUUUUUUAC